RNAcentral lists this ribosomal RNA (485 nucleotides) under uncultured bacterium. RNAcentral describes it as "bacterial SSU rRNA". It matches the Rfam family "Bacterial small subunit ribosomal RNA", at positions 28 to 507 of the family's 1533-position model. The record is from RNAcentral.
GAUGAACGCUAGCUACAGGCUUAACACAUGCAAGUCGAGGGGCAGCACAGUGUAGCAAUACACGGGUGGCGACCGGCGCACGGGUGCGUAACGCGUAUCCAACCUUCCCGAUACUCUUGGAUAGCCUUCCGAAAGGGAGAUUAAUACAAGAUGGUGUUUCACUUUCGCAUGUUAUUGAAACUAAAGAUUUAUCGGUAUCGGAUGGGGAUGCGUGACAUUAGAUAGUAGGCGGGGUAACGGCCCACCUAGUCUACGAUGUCUAGGGGUUCUGAGAGGAAGGUCCCCCACACUGGAACUGAGACACGGUCCAGACUCCUACGGGAGGCAGCAGUGAGGAAUAUUGGGUCAAUGGUCGGAAGACUGAACCAGCCAAGUAGCGUGAAGGAUGAAGGUUCUAUGGAUUGUAAACUUCUUUAUACGGGAAUAGAACCUCCCACGUGUGGAGCUUGUAUGUACCGUAUGAAUAAGCAUCGGCUAACUCCGUG